This 2440-nucleotide ribosomal RNA is filed under the name Kamptonema sp. PCC 6506. RNAcentral's name for it is "bacterial LSU rRNA". It matches the Rfam family "Bacterial large subunit ribosomal RNA", at positions 410 to 2873 of the family's 2925-position model. Lineage: Bacteria; Bacillati; Cyanobacteriota; Cyanophyceae; Oscillatoriales; Microcoleaceae. The record is from RNAcentral.
GAGUAGCACGGGGCCCGUGAAAUCCCGUGUGAAUCUGCGAGGACCAUCUCGUAAGGCUAAAUACUACUGUGUGACCGAUAGUGAACCAGUACCGCGAGGGAAAGGUGAAAAGAACCCCGAAAGGGGAGUGAAAUAGAACCUGAAACCGUCAGCUUACAAGCAAUGGGAGCUCGAUUUAACGAGUGACCGUGUGCCUGUUGAAGCAUGAGCCGGCGAGUUAUAGGCAGUGGCAGGUUAAGACAUUUAUCGUCGCAGCCAAAGCGAAAGCGAGUCUGAAAAGGGCGUUCGUCACUGUUUAUAGACCCGAACCCGGGUGAUCUAACCAUGUCCAGGAUGAAGCUUGGGUAACACCAAGUGGAGGUCCGAACCGACUGAUGUUGAAAAAUCAGCGGAUGAGGUGUGGUUAGGGGUGAAAUGCCAAUCGAACCCGGAGCUAGCUGGUUCUCCCCGAAAUGUGUUGAGGCACAGCGGUCGAGAUUAAGUUUGGGGGGUAAAGCACUGUUUCGGUGCGGGCUGCGAGAGCGGUACCAAAUCGAGACAAACUCUGAAUACCAAACCCGUACUCAGCCAGUCAGACGGUGGGGGAUAAGCUCCAUCGUCGAGAGGGAAACAGCCCAGACCACCAGCUAAGGUCCCCAAAUGACUGCUAAGUGAUAAAGGAGGUGAGAGUGCACUGACAACCAGGAGGUUUGCCUAGAAGCAGCCACCCUUGAAAGAGUGCGUAAUAGCUCACUGGUCAAGCGCUCUUCGCCGAAAAUGAACGGGGCUAAGCAGUCUACCGAAGCUGUGGAAUAUGAAUAAUAUUGGUAGGGGAGCGUUCCGCAACGGUGUGAAGCACUAGCGACAAGCAGGUGUGGACUGUGCGGAAGUGAGAAUGUCGGCUUGAGUAGCGCAAAUGUAGGUGAGAAUCCUACACCCCGAAACCCUAAGGGUUCCAGAGCCAGGCUCGUCCGCUCUGGGUGAGUCAGGUCCUAAGGCGAGGCCAAACGGCGUAGUCGAUGGAUAACGGGUUAACAUUCCCGUACCGAUAAUUGUUGGUGCAGAGGGACGGAGAAGGCAAUCGCCAGCCGGAUGUUGGUUACCGGUUUAAGUAUUCGAGGUGUUGAGAGACGGUGAAAACGUCUUGAGCUGAGGUACGAGUACGACCUCCUACGGGAGGGAAGUGGUAGAUGUCAUGCUUCCUAGAAAAGCUCUAAACACCAUAAACAGUUAUUGCCUGUACCCGAAACCGACACAGGUAGGGAGGUUGAGUAAACCAAGGGGCGCGAGAUAACUCUCUCUAAGGAACUCGGCAAAAUUGCCCCGUAACUUCGGAAGAAGGGGUGCCACCGCAAGGUGGUCGCAGUGAAGAGUCCCAGGCGACUGUUUACCAAAAACACAGGUCUCCGCUAAGUCGCAAGACGACGUAUGGGGGCUGACGCCUGCCCAGUGCCGGAAGGUUAAGGAAGUCGGUCAGGGAGUAAUCCUGAAGCUGGCGACUGAAGCCCCGGUGAACGGCGGCCGUAACUAUAACGGUCCUAAGGUAGCGAAAUUCCUUGUCGGGUAAGUUCCGACCCGCACGAAAGGCGUAACGAUCUGGGAGCUGUCUCGGAGAGAGACUCGGCGAAAUAGAAUUGUCUGUGAAGAUACGGACUACCUGCACCUGGACAGAAAGACCCUAUGAAGCUUUACUAUAGCCUGGAAUUGUGUUCGGGCUUCGCUUACGCAGGAUAGGUGGGAGGCUUUGAAGUUCUGCUUGUGGGCAGGAUGGAGCCAACGGUGAGAUACCACUUUAGCGAGGCUAGAAUUCUAACCUUUUCCCAUUAUCUGGGAAAGAGACAGUUUCAGGGGGGUAGUUUGACUGGGGCGGUCGCCUCCUAAAAGGUAACGGAGGCGCACAAUGGUUCCCUCAGGCUGGUUGGAAAUCAGCCAUAGAGUGCAAAGGCAUAAGGGAGCUUGACUGUAAGACCUACAAGUCGAGCAGGGUGGAAACACGGUCUUAGUGAUCCGACGGUUCCGUAUGGAAGGGCCGUCGCUCAACGGAUAAAAGUUACUCUAGGGAUAACAGGCUGAUCUCCCCCAAGAGUCCACAUCGACGGGGAGGUUUGGCACCUCGAUGUCGGCUCAUCGCAACCUGGGGCGGAAGUACGUCCCAAGGGUUGGGCUGUUCGCCCAUUAAAGCGGUACGUGAGCUGGGUUCAGAACGUCGUGAGACAGUUCGGUCCAUAUCCGGUGCAGGCGCAAGAAGAUUGAGAGGAUUCCUCCCUAGUACGAGAGGACCGGGAGGGACGCACCGCUGGUGUACCUGUUAUCGUGCCAACGGUAAACGCAGGGUAGCCAAGUGCGGAGUGGAUAACCGCUGAAAGCAUCUAAGUGGGAAGCCCACCUCAAGAUGAGUACUCUCAUGGAGUUAUCCAGUAAGGUCACGGGCAGAACACCCGUUGAUAGGCGUAAGUGAAGU